UCUUGGUCAUUUAGAGGAAGUAAAAGUCGUAACAAGGUUUCCGUUGGUGAACCAGCGGAAGGAUCAUUACAGAGUUCAUGCCCUUCGGGGUAGACCUCCCACCCUGUUUAUAUACUAUUGUUGCUUUGGCAGGUGCCCUCACCAUGGGGCGUCCGGGUUCCGCCCGCGUCUCGCCUGCCAAAAGCCCCACUAAUUCUGUGUUCUGUGUCGUCUGAGUACUAUAUAAUAAGUUAAAACUUUCAACAACGGAUCUCUUGGUUCUGGCAUCGAUGAAGAACGCAGCGAAAUGCGAUAAGUAAUGUGAAUUGCAGAAUUCAGUGAAUCAUCGAAUCUUUGAACGCACAUUGCGCCCCUUGGUAUUCCGGGGGGCAUGCCUGUUCGAGCGUCAUUUCAACCCUCACGCGUAGCGUGGUCUUGGGCACUGCCGGCAACGGCUUGCCUUAAAAUCAGUGGCGGUGCCAUCGAGCUCUACGCGUAGUAAUAAACCCCUCGCGUGUGAGUCUCGGCGGUCGCUUGCCAGCAACCCCCAAUUUUUUAUGGUUGACCUCGAAUCAGGUAGGGAUACCCGCUGAACUUAAGCAUAUCAAUAAGCGGAGGA
RNAcentral lists this ribosomal RNA (598 nucleotides) under Helotiaceae sp. 2 GM 17-02. RNAcentral describes it as "eukaryotic LSU rRNA". The stretch from base 235 to 388 matches the Rfam family "5.8S ribosomal RNA". The record is from RNAcentral. Lineage: Eukaryota; Fungi; Ascomycota; Leotiomycetes; Helotiales; Helotiaceae.